RNAcentral lists this ribosomal RNA (788 nucleotides) under uncultured Pseudoalteromonas sp. RNAcentral describes it as "bacterial SSU rRNA". It matches the Rfam family "Bacterial small subunit ribosomal RNA", at positions 19 to 802 of the family's 1533-position model. The record is from RNAcentral. Lineage: Bacteria; Pseudomonadati; Pseudomonadota; Gammaproteobacteria; Alteromonadales; Pseudoalteromonadaceae.
AUGGCUCAGAUUGAACGCUGGCGGCAGGCCUAACACAUGCAAGUCGAGCGGUAACAGAAAGUAGCUUGCUACUUUGCUGACGAGCGGCGGACGGGUGAGUAAUGCUUGGGAACAUGCCUUGAGGUGGGGGACAACAGUUGGAAACGACUGCUAAUACCGCAUAACGUCUACGGACCAAAGGGGGCUUCGGCUCUCGCCUUUAGAUUGGCCCAAGUGGGAUUAGCUAGUUGGUGAGGUAAUGGCUCACCAAGGCGACGAUCCCUAGCUGGUUUGAGAGGAUGAUCAGCCACACUGGGACUGAGACACGGCCCAGACUCCUACGGGAGGCAGCAGUGGGGAAUAUUGCACAAUGGGCGCAAGCCUGAUGCAGCCAUGCCGCGUGUGUGAAGAAGGCCUUCGGGUUGUAAAGCACUUUCAGUCAGGAGGAAAGGUUAGUAGUUAAUACCUGCUAGCUGUGACGUUACUGACAGAAGAAGCACCGGCUAACUCCGUGCCAGCAGCCGCGGUAAUACGGAGGGUGCGAGCGUUAAUCGGAAUUACUGGGCGUAAAGCGUACGCAGGCGGUUUGUUAAGCGAGAUGUGAAAGCCCCGGGCUCAACCUGGGAACUGCAUUUCGAACUGGCAAACUAGAGUGUGAUAGAGGGUGGUAGAAUUUCAGGUGUAGCGGUGAAAUGCGUAGAGAUCUGAAGGAAUACCGAUGGCGAAGGCAGCCACCUGGGUCAACACUGACGCUCAUGUACGAAAGCGUGGGGAGCAAACGGGAUUAGAUACCCCGGUAGUCCACGCCG